AGUCCCUUUGCUUGAUACCUGGCAGAGCUGUAAUUAGGACAUCCCCUGGGCCUGCUGAGGCUUCCUGGAAUGCUUCAAUACCUGAACUACAGGCUGGGAGAGAGAAAUGAGAGAUUCCUACAGGCCCUGCUGGGGGUCCCACCUCAUCUUUUGCUGGACUUUGCUCCUGGGUUUGCUGGUGCCUGCAGGUGGAGGCAUGCUGGAAAGGCUUCAGGCAUGGUGGCUGUUUCAGCCAGCAUACCACUCUUUGCUGUUUGCAGGGACAGGAGGGCUCCUGAACAUGGCAUAGGUCUCAUGUAUUGCCUUUCCUGACAAAAGGAGCUCUUAUUUACCAAGAUUUCAUCUAUUCCUACUGUUUAUUGCCCACGUGAAAUCCUCCUUGUCUCCUGCUGGCCUUGUCCUUGCAAGAGCUGCUGGUUGUGCUCCUGCCGCAGUGGGGAGAGAGAUGGAGACAGGAUGGGAUCAGUGGUUGGCAGCUGACAGUUUCUUUUUAUGUUUCCAUCUGUUCCCUCUCUUCCUUUUUAAUGAGAUCAGGUGCCAGAGUGCACUAGGAAGACUUUUCAAUGUGAGAGGAAGUCACAAAUGGGGUACUCAGGUCCUUGCUUUCAUCCUUGGCAGAGAGACGCUGCUCAAAUCAAACCUCUUGAGCUGUUCCUAUAAUGGGAAACCAAAACUCUGCAGUAAGGCUCACAGCUCCAAUCAGGUGGAUCUGUCCUGCAGCUCGGCCUUGGAACUCAGAGAUGCUUGUGCUGAUGGUCACCAAGAUGCAAACCCGGCUGUUCCUACCCCCACUCAGAGCCAGCUGUUGGCGUUUGGAAGUGCCCUGCAGAGGCACUAGACCUGCUAGGCUGGGGAUGACCGAUUUGCUGUGAAGCCAGGAGCCAAGGAGAGCCCUCCUACUGUAAAUGGAGCU
This is a long non-coding RNA of Corvus hawaiiensis (hawaiian crow), 913 nucleotides long. RefSeq lists it as uncharacterized. The transcript has 3 exons. NCBI's taxonomy places the organism in Eukaryota, Metazoa, Chordata, Aves, Passeriformes, Corvidae. The record is from RefSeq and is a predicted model, not a curated record.